This 87-nucleotide transfer RNA is filed under the name Candidatus Peregrinibacteria bacterium CG10_big_fil_rev_8_21_14_0_10_49_10. RNAcentral's name for it is "tRNA-Leu". It matches the Rfam family "tRNA". From Rfam's summary of the family: Transfer RNA (tRNA) molecules are approximately 80 nucleotides in length. Their secondary structure includes four short double-helical elements and three loops (D, anti-codon, and T loops). The record is from RNAcentral. Lineage: Bacteria; Candidatus Peregrinibacteriota.
GCCGAAGUGGCGGAACUGGUAGACGCGCACGACUCAAAAUCGUGUGGGGUUACACCCGUGAGAGUUCAAGUCUCUCCUUCGGCACCA